CAGCCGCCACGGGAAUACGGAGGGCGCGAGCGUUACCCGGAUUUACUGGGCGUAAAGGGCGUGUAGGCGGCCUGGGGCGUCCCAUGUGAAAGGCCACGGCUCAACCGUGGAGGAGCGUGGGAUACGCUCAGGCUAGAGGGUGGGAGAGGGUGGUGGAAUUCCCGGAGUAGCGGUGAAAUGCGCAGAUACCGGGAGGAACGCCGAUGGCGAAGGCAGCCACCUGGUCCACUUCUGACGCUGAGGCGCGAAAGCGUGGGGAGCAAACCGGAUUAGAUACCCCUGUAGUCCCUGUCUCUUAUAC
Molecule: ribosomal RNA, 301 nt
Filed under: uncultured bacterium
Lineage: Bacteria
Description: partial 16S ribosomal RNA
Rfam family: Bacterial small subunit ribosomal RNA
Source: RNAcentral